UUGGAGGGCAAGUCUGGUGCCCGCAGCCGCGGUAAUUCCAGCUCCAAUAGCGUAUAUUAAAGUUGUUGCAGUUAAAAAGCUCGUAGUUGAAUUUCGGGAUCAAUAUGCUGGUCGUGCCAUUGGUACGUACUAGUAUUAUUGGUUUCUUCCUUCUGAUGAAUCAUGAUGUCAUUAAGUUGAUGUCAUGGGGAAUCAGGACUGUUACUUUGAAAAAUUAGAGUGUUUAAAGCAGGCUCGCGCUUGAAUACAUUAGCAUGGAAUAAUGAAAUAGGACGUUUGAUUCUAUUUUGUUGGUUUCUAGGAUUGACGUAAUGAUUAAUAGGGAUAGUUGGGGGCAUUAGUAUUCAAUUGUCAGAGGUGAAAUUCUUGGAUUUAUUGAAGACUAACUACUGCGAAAGCAUUUGCCAAGGAUGUUUUCAUUAAUCAAGAACGAAAGUUAGGGAUCGAAGA
RNAcentral lists this ribosomal RNA (450 nucleotides) under uncultured Glomeraceae. RNAcentral describes it as "SSU rRNA". It matches the Rfam family "Eukaryotic small subunit ribosomal RNA", at positions 548 to 1004 of the family's 1831-position model. Lineage: Eukaryota; Fungi; Glomeromycota; Glomeromycetes; Glomerales; Glomeraceae. The record is from RNAcentral.